Athene cunicularia (burrowing owl) is the source of this 520-nucleotide long non-coding RNA. RefSeq lists it as uncharacterized. The transcript is spliced from 3 exons. NCBI's taxonomy places the organism in Eukaryota, Metazoa, Chordata, Aves, Strigiformes, Strigidae. The record is from RefSeq and is a predicted model, not a curated record.
GAGCUGGAAGCCAGUGGUGGUGUGUGUCCAGGAGGUGAAAGGGGACAUGGCAGCUGCUGGGCUGUUGGGAGUCUCUGUGAGUGUGGUUGAGCAGCGAUCCUGUCAGCUGUGUGCAGAGCUUUGGUCCCAACAGCUUCAUUGCAUUUCUGGAGAUCUUAAGAGGCUCCAGGAGGAGAAAAACAUUCUGCAGGCUGAGGAGCUGAUCGAGUGGGCAUCAUUGCUGAGUGUCUGUCAGUGUCUGAAAAGCCACAAGGCUUAUUAUUGCUGCUCCAUGCUUUUCCUGCCUCUCCUAGCACAGCCCACAGAUGUGGAGCUCUGCAUCCACCUCUGUUUCAGUUCAUAAGGUACACUGAGCAGACAAAGGACCAUUUGAUGCCUGAAGGUUUUUACAUUCAGUGAGGCAAAAGACUUGUCCAAUGUCUGACAACGCCCUCACACAAGCCACAGCUCCAGCUGCCUGGUGUCUGCCUGGAUGUCUCGGGAGGUUGUUGGAAAGGGCAGGGAAAAUGCUGGCAGAGGU